ACACUCCUACGGGAGGCAGCAGUGGGGAAUUUUGGACAAUGGGCGAAAGCCUGAUCCAGCAAUGCCGCGUGAGUGAAGAAGGCCUUCGGGUUGUAAAGCUCUUUUGUCAGGGAAGAAACGGUGAGAGCUAAUAUCUUUUGCUAAUGACGGUACCUGAAGAAUAAGCACCGGCUAACUACGUGCCAGCAGCCGCGGUAAUACGUAGGGUGCAAGCGUUAAUCGGAAUUACUGGGCGUAAAGCGUGCGCAGGCGGUUUUGUAAGUCUGAUGUGAAAUCCCCGGGCUCAACCUGGGAAUUGCAUUGGAGACUGCAAGGCUAGAAUCUGGCAGAGGGGGGUAGAAUUCCACGUGUAGCAGUGAAAUGCGUAGAUAUGUGGAGGAACACCGAUGGCGAAGGCAGCCCCCUGGGUCAAGAUUGACGCUCAUGCACGAAAGCGUGGGGAGCAAACAGGAUUAGAUACCCCAGUAGUCCCA
Molecule: ribosomal RNA, 473 nt
Filed under: uncultured organism
Description: partial 16S ribosomal RNA
Rfam family: Bacterial small subunit ribosomal RNA
Source: RNAcentral